GACCCUUUCUUUCAUGUAUAUAUCUUCGUUUAAAUUCCCCUGAUGACCUCCACGUAGUGGUAGAUGAUUCAACAACACGGGUGCAUGCUAUUUUAGAAAAGAUUUGAAAUUGUCGGAUUAGGUGUAUGUGAAAAUGGGAACUUGAAGACGUUGGCUUCUAAUUGGUUUAGGAGUGUGUGAAGAUGCAACUUCGAUGCUUCAAGGUCUUAAUCAAUGGGGUUUCUUUGUCGAGAGAGAGAGAGAGAGACAGAGGGGACAGACAGGAAACUUGUUGACAUUCAAUUAAGUCCAAUGAAUGAAAAAAAACAUGGUUGG
This 315-nucleotide long non-coding RNA is filed under the name Actinidia chinensis (golden kiwifruit). RNAcentral's name for it is "long non-coding RNA (ACHI_LNC004209)". The record is from RNAcentral. Lineage: Eukaryota; Viridiplantae; Streptophyta; Magnoliopsida; Ericales; Actinidiaceae.